Molecule: long non-coding RNA, 1735 nt
Organism: Papaver somniferum (opium poppy)
Lineage: Eukaryota; Viridiplantae; Streptophyta; Magnoliopsida; Ranunculales; Papaveraceae
Exons: 2
Source: RefSeq, a predicted model, not a curated record
UACCAGACCGAGAAGAUAAACUCGUGUCUUCUUUUCUUCGUCUUUCAUUAUUCUUCUUAUUUCUUCUUCUUCUCAUCUUCUUCUCUUUCCUACUCUUUUUGUUUUUUCUUCUUCUGCCAAUUUGAGAGACGAGUUUGAGAAUCAGUUAGAGAGAAUCGUUUGAUGAGGGAGACGAUGAGGGUUCGAAUCAUUAAGGAGAACAAGUAGGGAUUGUUAGGGUUCCUGUUUGAAGUGUUGAAUCGGUGAAGAAUUGAAGAAAUUGGAGUUUAUAGAUUCAAUUGAAGUUCUGAAAUUGUUCUAGGGAUGAACUGAGAAUUAGGGUUCCUGAAUCUGGGUUGAGAUUCGAUUAAAGAUUAAUUAGAAGAUGAAAUCGAUAUCUGGAAGGCUGAUUUGAUAUGGGUUUAUGUCUAAUUGAGUUAUGAAGUUGAUGCAGUGAAGAAUCGAGGGGUUAGGGUUUCUGCAUGUUGUGUUGGAAUUAGAUUUGAGCAAGAAUUAAGAAGAUAUAGACGGAAUUACAAGAUGGGUUUUACUGAAUUAGAGUUUGAGAUAGAAGAACAUCUUGAAAUUGGUAGUUAGGGUUGGAUCUGUUUUAAUGAAGAUUUGGGGUUAUAUUGAGAACCGAUGUUGUUAAUGAGGGUUGUGGAGAUGGUUAGCUGAAUUAUGUGUUAAAGAGGAUUUGAUCUCAAUUGCCUGAGCCAGAUAAAUCAAAAGUAAUUGUUUUCUUAUUCAAUUUAGCGGAUUUGUUCAUUGUUUAGUUUAUGUGAUGAUUUAUGAAGUUAUCGAUGAUGCUUUGAGUUUAUGAAGAAGUAUCUUUUGGGUUAUGGUUGGUUUGUGUGUAGUUGAGUUUUGAAUGGAUUGUAACUCAUAGAUGAAUGUUUGGAUUAUUGCAGAGAGAAUGAGUUUGCAGGUUUGUGAUGCUGUGUUAUUACAGCUGGUAUUAAGAUCAUCAAUUCAGUGGUGAGGCUAUAGAUACUGUAUUUGUGUGUGUGUUGAUGUUGAAGUUAUAGAACUGGCACAGAUUCAACUGGUUCUGUGGCAGUGAUGAAGGGUGGUUGUGUACAAAUGCUGAAGAUGACUUGCAGUAAGUGCAUUGAAUGAUGAAUAAGGAAUGAAGUUGUAGAUAUUUAGAUACAAGAAUUGAGGUGCAUGGCUGGCUGGUGUUGUAGUUGAUGGAGUUCGAUUGUGAAAUCCAGGGAAGAGCUCCUAGUGGUUCUAGGAUUGAAUGUGUUGAGCUGAGCUAAUGUUAUAUAUGAUUGCUAAGUUCAAUUGUUAUGGCUGUGAAGGAUUAAGUUGAUGGUGAACUAUAGAUGUUGCUGGUGGAGAUGCAAAGCGAAGAUACAUUGGUAAUUAUAGGUGCAUAGUCUGUAAAGAAGUGUUGGUUGGUUAAAUAUAUGUAUGGAAUGUUAGUAUUGAUAGUAAGUGGAUGAGAUAUGUAAUGGUAUGGCAAGGUUGAGUGAAAUGUAACUGAAGUGAAGUUGAAAUAAGUGUGGGAGUUGUAGUUUGUGAUAGUAAUUGAGCUAGGUUGAUCUGUAUUGGUAGAUGUAGGGUUUUGAUGAUCUCGGUGGAGUCUUGCAUCUGCUACCUAAAGUUUCAGAGGCAGAUCAGAGUUGCGCAGCGAAAGCUUCAAGGGUUGUUUUUGUUAGUUGAUUCACUUCUAUUAUGUUUAUUAUAUUACAUAUUGUAUCUGUAAACCAAAUGACUAUUGUAUAUGUAUCAUUUGAGAGGACUUCUUGUA